GUGCCAGCAGCCGCGGUAAUACGUAGGGUGCAAGCGUUGUCCGGAAUUACUGGGCGUAAAGAGCUCGUAGGUGGUUUGUCACGUCGUCUGUGAAAUUCCACAGCUUAACUGUGGGCGUGCAGGCGAUACGGGCUGACUUGAGUACUGUAGGGGUAACUGGAAUUCCUGGUGUAGCGGUGAAAUGCGCAGAUAUCAGGAGGAACACCGAUGGCGAAGGCAGGUUACUGGGCAGUUACUGACGCUGAGGAGCGAAAGCAUGGGUAGCAAACAGGAUUAGAUACCCUGGUAGUCCAUGCCGUAAACGGUGGGCGCUAGGUGUAGGGACCUUUUGGGGUUUCUGUGCCGUAGCUAACGCAUUAAGCGCCCCGCCUGGGGAGUACGGCCGCAAGGCUAAAACUCAAAGGAAUUGACGGGGGCCCGCACAAGCGGCGGAGCAUGUGGAUUAAUUCGAUGCAACGCGAAGAACCUUACCUGGGCUUGACAUACACUGGAUCGCUGCAGAGAUGUAGUUUCCCUUGUGGCUAGUGUACAGGUGGUGCAUGGCCGU
RNAcentral lists this ribosomal RNA (547 nucleotides) under uncultured dinoflagellate. Its description in RNAcentral is "bacterial SSU rRNA". It matches the Rfam family "Bacterial small subunit ribosomal RNA", at positions 505 to 1052 of the family's 1533-position model. Lineage: Eukaryota; Dinophyceae. The record is from RNAcentral.